Molecule: long non-coding RNA, 652 nt
Organism: Monodelphis domestica (gray short-tailed opossum)
Lineage: Eukaryota; Metazoa; Chordata; Mammalia; Didelphimorphia; Didelphidae
Source: RefSeq, a predicted model, not a curated record
CCUUUUGCUGAACAAUGGAAAGGACUUUGACCUAUGCUUAAGCAUAGAACAGGAAUUUCUUUGAGUCAUGAUUGAUUUUAGAAUUGAUACAAUGGAGAUACUUGGAAUCAAUCUCCACCCUAUUCAGUCCUAACAGGAUUGAGUAAGGGCUGCAGCCUAGAUCAAAAUUUAAUUAUUCCAAUCUCUACCCUACUCAGGUUAACAGGAUUUAGAAAGGGCUGUAGCAAAGGAUCAAAGAUUUAAUCAUUUGAAAAUAUGACCUUCAACAGACAUGUGCAAAGCCUCUGGGCAGUCCUGGGUUAAGCUAGAGCCUCCAUUGGCACAGGGAAAUUGAUGGACAGUGAUUGGUAGAUGUGAGAACUGAGGGGAGGCAACUUGGAUGGUUUCCUUAAAGAUCAGGGGGGUCUGGAGACUCAGGGGUGGUUGAGGAGUUGAUCAGAGUGGUGGCAGUGGACUCUGAGAAGCUUGCUCUGAAGGAAGCUGAAGGUGGGGGCCCCGGAGACUGUUUCUCCAUUUUGGUCACGUUCUAGGUUGUCACUGACCAUGAGGACUCUCUACCUGAUGUAUAUGGUGCUUUUUUUGGUAUUUCCCUAUGCUGUCAAAGGGAUGCGGGAACCUGAAAAUUAUCUUCAAUGUGACUUUGUGGGUGGCC